UACGGAGGGUGCAAGCGUUAUCCGGAUUCACUGGGCUUAAAGGGUGCGUAGGUGGGCAGGUAAGUCAGUGGUGAAAUCUCCGGGCUUAACUCGGAAACUGCCAUUGAUACUAUCUUUCUUGAAUACCGUGGAGGUCAGCGGAAUAUGUCAUGUAGCGGUGAAAUGCUUAGAUAUGACAUAGAACACCAAUUGCGAAGGCAGCUGGCUACACGAAUAUUGACACUGAUGGACGAAAGCGUGGGGAGCGAACAGG
RNAcentral lists this ribosomal RNA (253 nucleotides) under uncultured bacterium. RNAcentral's name for it is "partial 16S ribosomal RNA". It matches the Rfam family "Bacterial small subunit ribosomal RNA", at positions 524 to 776 of the family's 1533-position model. The record is from RNAcentral.